RNAcentral lists this microRNA precursor (93 nucleotides) under Marmota monax (woodchuck). Lineage: Eukaryota; Metazoa; Chordata; Mammalia; Rodentia; Sciuridae. The record is from RNAcentral.
AGUAGGAUAGCUGGGUCAAAUGGUGGAUCCAUUCCAAGUUUUCUCCACACUGCUUUCCAUAAUGGUCCACCAAUUUGCAGUCCUACCAGCAAU